AUGCCAUGAAAGAGAUACCGAGGAUUAAAADDDUUAAAGAAAGAGGUUAUGAAAAUACAUUAUCUUACAAAACAAAAUACAUAAUCACAUUAAUAUACUUADDUCUACAA
RNAcentral lists this ribosomal RNA (110 nucleotides) under Praomys daltoni (Dalton's Praomys). Its description in RNAcentral is "16S mitochondrial ribosomal RNA". Lineage: Eukaryota; Metazoa; Chordata; Mammalia; Rodentia; Muridae. The record is from RNAcentral.